CCUCCGAUGGGGACACAACGAGAGUCUUUGCCCUGGCUGCAACUGUGGUGAUGUGGAAGAUCCUCCAGGAGCCCUGCAUCCCACAAAUAGUGAGACUGUAUUUCACCCGCCUAUUUGUCCACCUGCAUUUCCAAGUGUUCUGCAGCACUUUGGAUACACCAGAGAAGGUCGAUGAAUUCUGGAAGGGAUGCCAGCAGCAACCCGGCCUUGGCACCAGCCCCAAAAGGUUUGCAGUGCAGACCCUGAAAUC
Long non-coding RNA from Ficedula albicollis (Collared flycatcher), 250 nucleotides. RefSeq lists it as uncharacterized. The transcript has 3 exons. NCBI's taxonomy places the organism in Eukaryota, Metazoa, Chordata, Aves, Passeriformes, Muscicapidae. The record is from RefSeq and is a predicted model, not a curated record.